UCCCGGGGGAGUCGGGUAACCGACUGAGAGGAAGCUUUUGACAGCUUCGACCCUUAGAACCUGAUCCGGGUCAUGCCGGCGGAGGGAAGGUAAGGA
RNAcentral lists this non-coding RNA (96 nucleotides) under Acetomicrobium hydrogeniformans. RNAcentral's name for it is "TPP riboswitch (THI element)". It matches the Rfam family "TPP riboswitch aptamer (THI element)", at positions 8 to 91 of the family's 105-position model. From Rfam's summary of the family: Vitamin B(1) in its active form thiamin pyrophosphate (TPP) is an essential coenzyme that is synthesised by coupling of pyrimidine and thiazole moieties in bacteria. The previously detected thiamin-regulatory element, thi box was extended, resulting in a new, highly conserved RNA secondary structure, the THI element, which is widely distributed in eubacteria and also occurs in some archaea. Analysis of operon structures identified a large number of new candidate thiamin-regulated genes, mostly transporters, in various prokaryotic organisms. The record is from RNAcentral. Lineage: Bacteria; Thermotogati; Synergistota; Synergistia; Synergistales; Acetomicrobiaceae.